AAAGCCGCGAGGCAGAGCGAAUCGCUAAAAGCCGUCCCAGUUCGGAUUGCAGGCUGCAACCCGCCUGCAUGAAGUUGGAAUCGCUAGUAAUCGCGGAUCAGCAUGCCGCGGUGAAUACGUUCCCGGGCCUUGUACACACCGCCCGUCACACCAUGAGAGUCGGGAACACCCGAAGUCCGUAGCCUGACCGCAAGGAGGGAGCUGCCUAAGGUGGGGUAGAUGAUUGGGGUGAAGUCGUAACAAGGUAGC
RNAcentral lists this ribosomal RNA (249 nucleotides) under uncultured bacterium. RNAcentral describes it as "partial 16S ribosomal RNA". It matches the Rfam family "Bacterial small subunit ribosomal RNA", at positions 1251 to 1500 of the family's 1533-position model. The record is from RNAcentral.